UUAAUUUUUUUUUUCAUCCAAGUCAUAGUUUACAAGAACAAUUCACGAGCCACAAUGUUUAUGAACCAGGAACAAACUUGGUGGCAUAGACCCAAGCAUUGUUAGCCACAGGGUUAUCCAAAUGGUCCAAAAGGUUCUCCAAUGGUCCUUUUCCUGUCACAAUUGCUUGCACAAAGAACCCAAACAUUGAAAACAUUGCUAGUCUUCCAUUCUUGAUUUCCUUCACCUUCAACUCAGCAAAAGUAAUCGGGUCGUCCGCAAGGCCCAAUGGGUCAAAGUAUUGACCACCCGGGUAGAGGUUGUUACCAUCUCCAACACCCUCAAGCCCGUUAAUACGGAACCCUUCAACUAGGCCCAUUAGGACCACUUGGAAACCGAGUACCGCUAAUAUGCUUUGGGCGUGGACUAGGUUUGGGUUGCCCAAAUAGUCUAGCCCGCCUUCGGAGAAGAUUUGGGCUCCGGCUUUGAACCAAACGGGCUCCUUGAAAUCUACUUUCACCCAUUUCUCGAGCACUUCGGGGGUGAUGCACCCGAAUGCUCCUAGCAUCGCCCAUCUCCCUUUGAUUACCUCAAGAGCCCGGUUCUUGGCAAAAGCCUCAGGAUCAGCGGAUAAACCGGCGGUGUCCCAACCAUAGUCACCCGGGAAUUCACCGGUCAAGUAUGAUGGUGUUUGGGCCGAAAAAGGUCCCAAGUACUUCACUCGGUCCGGUCCAUACCACAACUCAUUUCCCUGUUCAGUUUCACAACAUAUAUCAUCAGCAUCCUACAACUUUUGGAGCUUAUUCUUCAUUCACAUACAUAGACAUAUACAUGCAUACAUAAAGAUGCGUCCGUUCAAUAGAUAACCAGUUUUAAGUAGAGAACUGAGAGAAUCGCAAUAAGUAGUUGAAGGUAGUGCUCAUGAGAUGCAAUAGUAGAGUGAAAAGAUGACGGUUAGGCGGUUACAUAACCGUCUUAUGUUAUGUAUCACAUUAAAACAAUUAGUAUGCAAUUCUCGCAGUUAUAUACUUAAAACUAGUUCAGUAGAGAACUAGAGAUGGAGAUAUGCAAUACCAUGGUGAACUUGCCAUUGACCAUGGAAACAGAAUCUCUAAGGGAGUUAACAUUGGAGGCUCUAGUUUGACCCAAGAAAGGGGUGGCUCUGACAACAGU
This 1152-nucleotide long non-coding RNA is filed under the name Helianthus annuus (common sunflower). RNAcentral describes it as "sRNA HanXRQr2_Chr08g0352211". Lineage: Eukaryota; Viridiplantae; Streptophyta; Magnoliopsida; Asterales; Asteraceae. The record is from RNAcentral.